This 354-nucleotide transfer-messenger RNA is filed under the name bacterium. RNAcentral describes it as "AB-629-J13 sp002346675 Standard tmRNA". It matches the Rfam family "transfer-messenger RNA". From Rfam's summary of the family: Bacterial tmRNA, also known as 10Sa RNA or SsrA, is named for its dual tRNA and mRNA-like properties. Its role is to liberate the mRNA from a stalled ribosome. The record is from RNAcentral. RNAcentral also lists the same sequence under 1 other name.
GGGGGCGACCGGUUUCGACGGGAUAAGAGGUAGGUUAAACGGCAUGCCGAGUUUCCGAAAACUCGUUAAUAAAGCGGAACAUCAUAUAAGUGCCGAUUAUGGCCAAUUUGCUUACGCUUAAUUGACGUAAGCCGUUCUGGGUAAAAUGGGUCUGUGGUUUUAUCUAAGGGCGUCGACUACGCAGACUAGUUUCUGAUUUUGUUUGGGAAUCAGAAAUGAGACUUACCGAACUGGUUUCAACGAAAUGGGGUUUCCCGGCAUUCGUUGAAAUGAGAUAAAUCCGGAAAACUAAACAUGUAGAUGUUUUUCAAAUCUCUGUUUCGGACGGGAGUUCGAUUCUCCCCGCCUCCACUC